CCGUCGAUAGCUCAACUGGUAGAGCUUUGGACUGUAGAUCCAUAGUUCGCUGGUUCGACUACGGCUCGACGGA
This 73-nucleotide transfer RNA is filed under the name Nephila pilipes (giant wood spider). Its description in RNAcentral is "tRNA-Tyr". It matches the Rfam family "tRNA". From Rfam's summary of the family: Transfer RNA (tRNA) molecules are approximately 80 nucleotides in length. Their secondary structure includes four short double-helical elements and three loops (D, anti-codon, and T loops). Further hydrogen bonds mediate the characteristic L-shaped molecular structure. tRNAs have two regions of fundamental functional importance: the anti-codon, which is responsible for specific mRNA codon recognition, and the 3' end, to which the tRNAs corresponding amino acid is attached (by aminoacyl-tRNA synthetases). tRNAs cope with the degeneracy of the genetic code in two manners: having more than one tRNA (with a specific anti-codon) for a particular amino acid; and 'wobble' base-pairing, i.e. permitting non-standard base-pairing at the 3rd anti-codon position. Lineage: Eukaryota; Metazoa; Arthropoda; Arachnida; Araneae; Nephilidae. The record is from RNAcentral.